This 261-nucleotide ribosomal RNA is filed under the name uncultured archaeon. RNAcentral describes it as "partial 16S ribosomal RNA". It matches the Rfam family "Archaeal small subunit ribosomal RNA", at positions 748 to 1009 of the family's 1478-position model. The record is from RNAcentral.
CAGCCGUAAACUAUGCGCGUUAGGUGUAUCGGUGACCACGAGUUACCGAGGUGCCGAAGGGAAACCGUGAAACGUGCCGCCUGGGAAGUACGGUCGCAAGGCUGAAACUUAAAGGAAUUGGCGGGGGAGCACCACAACAGGUGGAGCCUGCGGUUUAAUUGGACUCAACGCCGGGAAGCUCACCGGAUAGGACAGCAGAAUGGUUGCCGGGCUGAAGACCCUGCAUGACUAGCUGAGAGGAGGUGCAUGGCGUAGACGUCU